This 495-nucleotide ribosomal RNA is filed under the name uncultured bacterium. RNAcentral describes it as "partial 16S ribosomal RNA". It matches the Rfam family "Bacterial small subunit ribosomal RNA", at positions 28 to 507 of the family's 1533-position model. The record is from RNAcentral.
GACGAACGCUGGCGGCGUGCCUAAUACAUGCAAGUAGAACGCUGAAGGAGGAGCUUGCUUCUCUGGAUGAGUUGCGAACGGGUGAGUAACGCGUAGGUAACCUGCCUGGUAGCGGGGGAUAACUAUUGGAAACGAUAGCUAAUACCGCAUAAGAGUAGAUGUUGCAUGACAUUUGCUUAAAAGGUGCAAUUGCAUCACUACCAGAUGGACCUGCGUUGUAUUAGCUAGUUGGUGGGGUAACGGCUCACCAAGGCGACGAUACAUAGCCGACCUGAGAGGGUGAUCGGCCACACUGGGACUGAGACACGGCCCAGACUCCUACGGGAGGCAGCAGUAGGGAAUCUUCGGCAAUGGACGGAAGUCUUACCGAACAACGCCGCGUGAGUGAAGAAGGUUUUCGGAUCGUAAAGCUCUGUUGUAAGAGAAGAACGAGUGGGAGAGUGGAAAGUUCACACUGUGACGGUAUCUUACCAGAAAGGGACGGCUAACUACGUG